Molecule: ribosomal RNA, 429 nt
Filed under: Chloroflexota bacterium
Lineage: Bacteria; Bacillati; Chloroflexota
Description: Chloroflexi bacterium partial 16S ribosomal RNA
Rfam family: Bacterial small subunit ribosomal RNA
Source: RNAcentral
UGGGGAAUAUUGCACAAUGGGCGCAAGCCUGAUGCAGCCAUGCCGCGUGUGUGAAGAAGGCCUUCGGGUUGUAAAGCACUUUCAGCGGGGAGGAAGGCGUUAAGGUUAAUAACCUUGGCGAUUGACGUUACCCGCAGAAGAAGCACCGGCUAACUCCGUGCCAGCAGCCGCGGUAAUACGGAGGGUGCAAGCGUUAAUCGGAAUUACUGGGCGUAAAGCGAACGCAGGCGGUCGGUCAAGUCGGAUGUGAAAUCCCCGGGCUCAACCUGGGAACUGCAUUCGAAAUUGGCGGGCUAGAGGCUUGUAGAGGGGGGUAGAAUUCCAGGUGUAGCGGUGAAAUGCGUAGAGAUCUGGAGGAAUACCGGUGGCGAAGGCGGCCCCAUGGACAAAGACUGACGCUCAGGUGCGAAAGCGUGGGGAGCAAACAGG